GCCAGUGUGGUGUAAUGGUUAGAGUGGUGGACUGUGAUUCUGGAGAUGAGGGUUCAAUUCUCCACUCAGCCA
This is a non-coding RNA of Phrynosoma platyrhinos (Desert horned lizard), 72 nucleotides long. Lineage: Eukaryota; Metazoa; Chordata; Lepidosauria; Squamata; Phrynosomatidae. The record is from the annotation of a GenBank genome assembly.